UACGGAAGGUAGCAGUGGGGAAUAUUGCACAAUGGGCGAAAGCCUGAUGCAGCUAUGCCGCGUGUAUGAAGAAGGCCUUAGGGUUGUAAAGUACUUUCAUCGGGGAGGAAAAAACAAAACUAAUAAUUUUAUUUCUUGACGUUACCCGAAAAAGAAGCACCGGCUAACUCCGUGCCAGCAGCCGCGGUAAUACGGAGGGUGCUAGCGUUAAUCAGAAUUACUGGGCGUAAAGAGCACGUAGGUGGUUUUUUUAAAGUCAGAUGUGAAAUCCCUGGGCUUAACCUAGGAACUGCAUUUUGAAACUGAAAUACUAGAGUAUCGUAGAGGGAGGUAGAAUUCUAGGUGUAGCGGUGAAAUGCGUAGAUAUCUGGAGGAAUACCUGUGGCGAAAGCGGCCUCCUAAACGAAUACUGACACUGAGGGUGCGAAAGCGUGGGGAGCAAACAGGGAUUAGAUACC
This 458-nucleotide ribosomal RNA is filed under the name uncultured bacterium. Its description in RNAcentral is "bacterial SSU rRNA". It matches the Rfam family "Bacterial small subunit ribosomal RNA", at positions 340 to 786 of the family's 1533-position model. The record is from RNAcentral.